This is a long non-coding RNA of Erpetoichthys calabaricus (reedfish), 406 nucleotides long. RefSeq lists it as uncharacterized. The transcript is spliced from 3 exons. NCBI's taxonomy places the organism in Eukaryota, Metazoa, Chordata, Cladistia, Polypteriformes, Polypteridae. The record is from RefSeq and is a predicted model, not a curated record.
GAAGAGUCCUUUCAUCAAAUUGGCUGGCCCGACGCUGACUCAGCUAAGGAAUGGCAAUGUAAGGGGGCGGUAACUUGUUGGCCAAUGUCUACAGGACUCUGAACAAAAAUGAAUCCUCAUACAGGUGACACACUCAUGAGUGCACAACAGUGGAUGCUGAGCCUUGAGAGGCAAGUGGUGUGUGAGGGGCGAAGUUCUGCCACAUCAAUGUGAGUGCAACUGCAGAUGUCUUUUCAAGUUUCUACAUUUUUAAUUUUGCAUACCAAGAAGAAGCCUCAUUAACCCUUGAAUUUCUACAAAGACUCAGAAUGGCAAGAAGUCUCAUUUAGUGACAAAUUUGGAAUGAAUUGGCAGACUGUGAGUUGGAGCAGACACAGAAGAGAAGAGCACACUGGUGAGUAACCUU